Molecule: long non-coding RNA, 889 nt
Organism: Sesamum indicum (sesame)
Lineage: Eukaryota; Viridiplantae; Streptophyta; Magnoliopsida; Lamiales; Pedaliaceae
Source: RefSeq, a predicted model, not a curated record
UAUAAAUAGCUUUUCUCAUGAUAUGAUUAGUUGAGUGGACGCAGAUUUGAGUGCAUAAUCUUAGAAAUCUUGUGCUUUUAGAUCCUUUUGGUAGAUCAAUUGAUGAUAAUCUUUGACUUAUUAUUCAUGGAAGACUUUUUCAUUUUUCUUACUUCACAUUUUGUUUUUGGUUCUAGAUCUUGAUUCAUAUUUUACAACCCUGAAUCUCUGGAAAAGUUGGUUUUAUUAUAUUUGGAAUUUAGUUCCUGAUACCGAAAACUGAGGCUGACUCCGGACCCUUUUUGCAGAGAGGCAAGGUGGAUCUAAUCAACAAGAAAUGAGGUUCCAGCACUUGUUUGUUGGGAUAUGCUUUGAUUUUGAUUUCAAAUGUUGGUCUCGACAUAGUUAAGAUUCACAGAAAUGACUGAUUUAAGACAGGGGUGCUUGUUGAUAAAGCUUGAGAGUGACUUAAAGCUUUUCCCGUCGGCAUCCUCUUAUCCUCAUGGUACAGGAACAAGUACAGUUAGUUGAGUAUCCACUGACUGACAAGAUGUUGUAGUGCUGGUGCAACUUGGCCACCUUUUGUCAAGAAAUUUGAUGGUGAUCCUACAGUUUGUGCAUAUUGCCAAGCUUGUUUUCACCUCUCUUGUCAAACCCACCAUCACCAUCCACACCAUAUCUCUUCCACCAUCUCUUACUCUUCGUUUCAGUGGUGCAAGUUUUUUGCAUGGCAAGAUGGUGCAUCACUUGCGUUCUUUGUGCACUAUCGUGAUAUCCGUCUCUCCUUUUCUUUUUUGUUUUUGAUAAUCCGAGUACCAUGUUGAGAAAGAUGAGUCUAGAAAAAGCAUAUUUGAUAAUGAACCUUUUGAAUGUUUGAUUAGAUUUGUUUGGUAAGUUUAAUGGAAGCCGA